GUGCCAGCCGCCGCGGUAAUACCGGCAGCCCAAGUGAUGGCCGCUGUUAUUGGGCCUAAAGCGUCCGUAGCUGGCCGCACAAGUCCGUCGGGAAAUCCGCCUGCCCAACAGGUGGGCGUCCGGCGGAAACUGUGUGGCUUGGAACCGGAAGGCUCAGAGGGUACGUCCGGGGUAGGAGUGAAAUCCCGUAAUCCCGGACGGACCACCGAUGGCGAAAGCACUCUGAGAAGACGGCUUCGACAGUGAGGGACGAAAGCUCGGGUCUCAAACCGGAUUAGAUACCCUAGUAGUCC
RNAcentral lists this ribosomal RNA (293 nucleotides) under uncultured bacterium. Its description in RNAcentral is "partial 16S ribosomal RNA". It matches the Rfam family "Archaeal small subunit ribosomal RNA", at positions 455 to 747 of the family's 1478-position model. The record is from RNAcentral.